AUAAAACAAUGUGUUACUAAUAUUUAUAGCAGUAUAUUAUUCUAUUUACGUAAAUAGUAUAAUUUUUUGGAGCUCCCUCUUCCUCUUCUACCUCCUUCCUUCUCCGGUUCUCCCUCCACCUCCUCCCUCCUCUUCUUCUUCUUCCUCCCUCCUCCUCUUCUUCUUCCUCUCUCCUGCCCUUGCUCUUACUUCUCAUCCCUCCUUCUUCCUCCACCUCCUCCUCCUCUUCAUCUCCUCUUUUUCCCUUGUUGCUCUUCCUUUUCAAAUGCAAGCUACUUUUGAAUAUUUUUCUGUAUUUUUCUAUACUAUUUACUUAAUAUACAUAGUACGGUAUAAUAUGUUUAUUAC
Molecule: long non-coding RNA, 348 nt
Filed under: Brassica napus (rape)
Lineage: Eukaryota; Viridiplantae; Streptophyta; Magnoliopsida; Brassicales; Brassicaceae
Description: long non-coding RNA (BNAP_LNC003017)
Source: RNAcentral